This 253-nucleotide ribosomal RNA is filed under the name uncultured bacterium. Its description in RNAcentral is "partial 16S ribosomal RNA". It matches the Rfam family "Bacterial small subunit ribosomal RNA", at positions 524 to 776 of the family's 1533-position model. The record is from RNAcentral.
UACGUAGGGUGCAAGCGUUGUCCGGAAUUAUUGGGCGUAAAGAGCUCGUAGGCGGUCUGUCGCGUCGGCUGUGAAACCUCGGGGCUCAACCCCGAGCCUGCAGUCGAUACGGGCAGACUAGAGUGCUGUAGGGGAGACUGGAAUUCCUGGUGUAGCGGUGAAAUGCGCAGAUAUCAGGAGGAACACCGGUGGCGAAGGCGGGUCUCUGGGCCUGUCCUGACGCUCAGGCGCGAAAGCUAGGGGAGCAAACAGG